This 94-nucleotide transfer RNA is filed under the name Trametes cingulata. RNAcentral describes it as "tRNA-Ser". It matches the Rfam family "tRNA". Rfam says of the family: Transfer RNA (tRNA) molecules are approximately 80 nucleotides in length. Their secondary structure includes four short double-helical elements and three loops (D, anti-codon, and T loops). Further hydrogen bonds mediate the characteristic L-shaped molecular structure. tRNAs have two regions of fundamental functional importance: the anti-codon, which is responsible for specific mRNA codon recognition, and the 3' end, to which the tRNAs corresponding amino acid is attached (by aminoacyl-tRNA synthetases). tRNAs cope with the degeneracy of the genetic code in two manners: having more than one tRNA (with a specific anti-codon) for a particular amino acid; and 'wobble' base-pairing, i.e. permitting non-standard base-pairing at the 3rd anti-codon position. Lineage: Eukaryota; Fungi; Basidiomycota; Agaricomycetes; Polyporales; Polyporaceae. The record is from RNAcentral. RNAcentral also lists the same sequence under 1 other name.
GUCACUUUGCCGGAGUGGUUAACGGGAUCGCCUGCUAUUCAUAGCUGUUAGCGGUUGGGCUUUGCCCGCGAGUGUUCGAAUCGCUCAGGUGACG